RNAcentral lists this ribosomal RNA (249 nucleotides) under uncultured bacterium. RNAcentral describes it as "partial 16S ribosomal RNA". It matches the Rfam family "Bacterial small subunit ribosomal RNA", at positions 87 to 334 of the family's 1533-position model. The record is from RNAcentral.
UUGGAUGAGUGGCGAACGGGUGAGUAACACGUGAGUAACCUGCCCCCUUCUUUGGGAUAACGCCCGGAAACGGGUGCUAAUACUGGAUAUUCACUGAUCUUCGCAUGGGGGUUGGUGGAAAGGUUUUUUCUGGUGGGGGAUGGGCUCGCGGCCUAUCAGCUUGUUGGUGGGGUGAUGGCCUACCAAGGCUUUGACGGGUAGCCGGCCUGAGAGGGUGACCGGUCACAUUGGGACUGAGAUACGGCCCAG